Molecule: ribosomal RNA, 460 nt
Filed under: uncultured bacterium
Lineage: Bacteria
Description: partial 16S ribosomal RNA
Rfam family: Bacterial small subunit ribosomal RNA
Source: RNAcentral
CCUACGGGGGGCUGCAGUGAGGAAUAUUGGUCAAUGGACGCAAGUCUGAACCAGCCAUGCCGCGUGCAGGAAGACGGUUCUAUGAGUUGUAAACUGCUUUUGUACGAGGGUAAACUCAGAUACGCGUAUCUGUCUGAACGUAUCGUACGAAUAAGGAUCGGCUAACUCCGUGCCAGCAGCCGCGGUAAUACGGAGGAUUCAAGCGUUAUCCGGAUUUAUUGGGGUUAAAGGGUGCUUAGGCGGUCGGAUAAGUUAGAGGUGAAAUCCCGGGGCUCAACUUCGGAAUUGCCUCUGAUACUGUUGGGCUAGAGAGUGGGAGCGGUAGGCGGAAUGUAUGGUGUAGCGGUGAAAUGCUUAGAGAUCAUACAGAACACCGAUUGCGAAGGCAGCUUACCAAGCUACAUCUGACGUUGAGGCACGAAAGCGUGGGGAGCAAACAGGAUUAGAUACCCGAGUAGUC